Molecule: signal recognition particle RNA, 342 nt
Filed under: Cebus imitator (Panamanian white-faced capuchin)
Lineage: Eukaryota; Metazoa; Chordata; Mammalia; Primates; Cebidae
Description: Metazoan signal recognition particle RNA (ENSCCAG00000006385.1)
Rfam family: Metazoan signal recognition particle RNA
About the family: The signal recognition particle (SRP) is a universally conserved ribonucleoprotein. It is involved in the co-translational targeting of proteins to membranes.
Source: RNAcentral
GCCGAGCACAGUGGCGCGUGCAUGUAGUCCCAGCUACUUGGGAGGCUGAGGCUGGAGGAUCGCGUGAGCCCAGGAGUUCUGGGCUGUAGUGAGCUAGGCCGAUUGGGUGUCUCCACUAAGUUUGGCAUCAAUAUGGUGACCUCCCAGGAGUGGGGGACCACCAGGAGAACGAGUGUGCCAGUGACUGUGUGUGGGUGCAGGGGUUGAGGAAUGGAAGGAGGGGUGAACCGGCCCAGGUAGGAAACAGAGCAGGUCAAAACUCCUGUGCUGAUCAGUAGUGGGAUCGCGCCUGUGAAUAGCCACUGCACUCCAGCCUGGGCAACAUAGUGAGACCCUGUCUCU